Herpailurus yagouaroundi (jaguarundi) is the source of this 451-nucleotide long non-coding RNA. RefSeq lists it as uncharacterized. The transcript has 4 exons. The record is from RefSeq and is a predicted model, not a curated record. NCBI's taxonomy places the organism in Eukaryota, Metazoa, Chordata, Mammalia, Carnivora, Felidae.
GCAGCUCAGCACAGCAAGCUUGACAGGACCUGUCUUCCUCUACUGUUAAUUUCACAGCCGGAUGAGUAGAAAGGACUUUAUAAGAUGACUCGAAAUGUCACACAAGAGUAAGAAGCACUGAGAAUGGACUAAAAUAAUUUUAUGGAAAGACAUGAAGAAUAAGGCACCAGGAGAAGAAGGAGAAUAAAAAGAAGAGACCUAUCCCAGGAGAAGACUGUUUACAACUGUGAAAAAGUGAAAACGAUCUAACUGUCCCUUCUAGAGGACUAGAGAGAUGAAGCUAAGUGCCUCACUCUUCUGUGGAGGGUUUGAUGUGUCUCCAGUCCCCAUCAUCAUCAGUCUUUGAGAAUCACUGACAAGCAUAGAAUGGAAUUGUUACCUGCCAUUAUUUUGUUACAAUUUACUGCUUGUAAUUUUUGUUAUCAAAGUAAUAGCAUUUUCAUUUUCCCAA